UAAGGAAUAUUGGUCAAUGGACGCAAGUCUGAACCAGCCAUGCCGCGUGAAGGAUGAAGGUCCUCUGGAUUGUAAACUUCUUUUAUCUGGGACGAAAACGGGAUUUUUAUCUCAAUUGACGGUACCAGCGGAAUAAGCACCGGCUAACUCCGUGCCAGCAGCCGCGGUAAUACGGAGGGUGCGAGCGUUAUCCGGAUUUACUGGGUUUAAAGGGUGCGUAGGUGGGCUUAUAAGUCAGUGGUGAAAUCUCCGAGCUUAACUUGGAAACUGCCGUUGAUACUAUAGGUCUUGAAUUAUCUGGAGGGAAGCGGAAUAUGUCAUGUAGCGGUGAAAUGCUUAGAUAUGACAGAGAACACCAAUUGCGAAGUCAGCUUACUACAUAUAAAUUGACGCUGAGGCACGAAAGCGUGGGG
This 413-nucleotide ribosomal RNA is filed under the name uncultured bacterium. Its description in RNAcentral is "bacterial SSU rRNA". It matches the Rfam family "Bacterial small subunit ribosomal RNA", at positions 355 to 766 of the family's 1533-position model. The record is from RNAcentral.